GACGAACGCUGGCGGCGUGCCUAAUACAUGCAAGUAGAACGCACAGUAUAUACCGUAGCUUGCUACACCAUAGACUGUGAGUUGCGAACGGGUGAGUAACGCGUAGGUAACCUGCCUGGUAGCGGGGGAUAACUAUUGGAAACGAUAGCUAAUACCGCAUAAUAUUAAUUAUUGCAUGAUAAUUGAUUGAAAGAUGCAACUGCAUCACUACCAGAUGGACCUGCGUUGUAUUAGCUAGUAGGUGAGGUAACGGCUCACCUAGGCGACGAUACAUAGCCGACCUGAGAGGGUGAUCGGCCACACUGGGACUGAGACACGGCCCAGACUCCUACGGGAGGCAGCAGUAGGGAAUCUUCGGCAAUGGACGAAAGUCUGACCGAGCAACGCCGCGUGAGUGAAGAAGGUUUUCGGAUCGUAAAGCUCUGUUGUAAGAGAAGAACGGGUGUGAGAGUGGAAAGUUCACACUGUGACGGUAUCUUACCAGAAAGGGACGGCUAACUACGUGCCAGCAGCCGCGGUAAUACGUAGGUCCCCAGCGUUGUCCCGGAUUUUAUUGGGCG
RNAcentral lists this ribosomal RNA (560 nucleotides) under uncultured Streptococcus sp. RNAcentral's name for it is "bacterial SSU rRNA". It matches the Rfam family "Bacterial small subunit ribosomal RNA", at positions 28 to 560 of the family's 1533-position model. Lineage: Bacteria; Bacillati; Bacillota; Bacilli; Lactobacillales; Streptococcaceae. The record is from RNAcentral.